Non-coding RNA from Rhizobium sp., 100 nucleotides. NCBI's taxonomy places the organism in Bacteria, Pseudomonadati, Pseudomonadota, Alphaproteobacteria, Hyphomicrobiales, Rhizobiaceae. The record is from Rfam.
GAAGCUCUAACGGGGUGCCGCAUCUGCGGCUGAGAGGCUUUGCCAACCCGCGGAACCUGAUCCGGUUGAUACCGGCGGAGGGAUUAGACGGCUUCUGAUC